AAAAAAUGUUUAUUAUUAUUAGUUAUAUAUUCAGAGCCUUUCCUGAAUAACUAACAAUGAAAUACAGCUUAUACCAUACAUAAACUGUAUUGUUUAUUAUAAUUUCCAGACCUUUAGGAAAUUAUCCCUUACUUGUCAAAUGUUUUCCUAUUUAAUCCUAUUUAUUACAAAAUGACAAACGUUAACAGUAAACAUGAACUUCAAUGAACAAUUUCAAUAAUCCUAACUUUAAAAGAUAAACUAGAAAUAAAGCUUUAAAAGAGUCCGCUAAAAAUGAAAUAUUCCUUUUAAACUUUGAAAACGCUAACUUUACUAUUUUCCUUUACAAUUUAACCUUUAAAAAAAUGAAGUUUCUAAGGAAAAUAAACCAUUUUUACUGAAAUAAUUUACGAGCAAAUAAAAUACCAACUGUAAGAACCAAAAGUUUUAGCAGAACUGACGACCAAGCGUCGAAAUUACGUCAAUGUUGGAUUGUUGGAUUGUUGGAUGGUUGGAUG
Molecule: long non-coding RNA, 497 nt
Filed under: Mytilus galloprovincialis (Mediterranean mussel)
Lineage: Eukaryota; Metazoa; Mollusca; Bivalvia; Mytilida; Mytilidae
Source: RNAcentral